UUGGACGAGCCCAGCUAGAGGCCACGCCCACGAAGCUCACGGGCGCCAUUUUGCAUCCUCUGCCUGAGUUCCCCUCGUCUUCAGCCUGUUCAGAAGGCCAACUGAACCGGCUUUUUUGUUCCAUGGUGUCAGCCCAAGUGUCUUCGGGGAGGCCCCUGCCCCUGAGUUCCAGACUCAAAUUCUCGUUGUUGCCCGUCAACUGUUGCCCACAGCUACUGGACAAUUACGAGUUUUACAUUCGUAGGUAAAACCGUUAGAAUCAAAAGAACUGCUACGUUUCCAUUUCAGCUCCAUUAACGUCGCUUUGUUUUGAAAAUAAAAAAAGUUCUUUCCAGCUUAUCUGUUACCUCUGGCAGAAGACUGCGUUCAGAAACCACCCCCUCAGGCAAUAAGGACUGCCCUGAGCCAGCAAGACCCCACGUGACUGACUCGAAGACCAGGAUAGACUUGACCUUUACUGUCCACCUGUCUGUACUCACUGGCCUUUGUCCCACAUUUUCCUUAUACAAAUCUGUAUUUUCAGCACUUUGUAAAUCGCUUUUGAAAGGCUAGUCCACUGUCUUCCCGGUGUUGGCCUCAAGGAAAUAAAUUCCUUUCUGCUUCACCA
Panthera uncia (snow leopard) is the source of this 607-nucleotide long non-coding RNA. RefSeq lists it as uncharacterized. The record is from RefSeq and is a predicted model, not a curated record. The transcript is spliced from 2 exons. Lineage: Eukaryota; Metazoa; Chordata; Mammalia; Carnivora; Felidae.